GGAAUAUAAGAAUUUGUCUCUUAACUUUUAACUAAAAAAGCUAAGAACCGGCUCUUAAAUAAGAUAUUUAAGAGCCGGAUCUUAUGUUUUUUAGUUAAAAGUUAAGAGACGGAUUCUUAUAUUUC
Molecule: non-coding RNA, 125 nt
Organism: Brassica rapa (field mustard)
Lineage: Eukaryota; Viridiplantae; Streptophyta; Magnoliopsida; Brassicales; Brassicaceae
Source: Rfam